GAUGAACGCUGGCGGCGUGCCUAAUACAUGCAAGUCGAGCGAACAGGUGAGGAGCUUGCUGCUCUGACGUUAGCGGCGGACGGGUGAGUAACACGUGGAUAACCUACCUAUAAGACUGGGAUAACUUCGGGAAACCGGAGAUAAUACCGGAUAAUAUAUUGAACCGCAGGGUUCAAUAGUGAAAGACGGUUUUGAUGGCACGUAUAGAUGGAUCCGCGCCGCAUUAGCUAGUUGGUAAGGUAACGGCUUACCAAGGCAACGAUGCGUGGCCGAUCUGAGAGGGCGAUCGGCCACACUGGAACUGAGACACGGCCCAGACUCCUACGGGAGGCAGCAGUAGGGAAUCUUCCGCAAUGGGCGCAAGCCUGACGGAGCCACGCCGCGUGCGUGAUGAAGGUCUUCGGAUCGUAAACCUCUUUUAUUAGGGAAGAACACAUGUGUAAUUAACUAUGCACGUCUUGACGGUACCUAAUCAGAAAGCCCCGGCUAACUACGUG
Molecule: ribosomal RNA, 497 nt
Filed under: uncultured bacterium
Lineage: Bacteria
Description: partial 16S ribosomal RNA
Rfam family: Bacterial small subunit ribosomal RNA
Source: RNAcentral